CCGCAUCUGUGCAUGCAGCAUAUCAAUAAGCGGAGGAAAAGAAACUAACAAGGAUUCCCCUAGUAACGGCGAGUGAAGCGGGAAGAGCUCAAAUUUGAAAUCUUAAAGGGUUUCCCUUUACGAAUUGUAGUUUAAAGAAGUGUUUUCUGUUGAGGUUUUGGUAAAAGUUCUUUGGAAUAGGACAUCAUAGAGGGUGAGAAUCCCGUAUUUGACCUUUACUUUCAACUUUGUGAUACACUUUCAAAGAGUCGGAUUGUUUGGGAAUGCAGUCCAAAAUGGGUGGUAAAUUUCAUCUAAAGCUAAGUAUUGGCGAGAGACCGAUAGCGAACAAGUACCGUGAGGGAAAGAUGAAAAGAACUUUGAAAAGAGAGUUAAACAGUACGUGAAAUUGUCAAAAGGGAAGCGUUUGACACCAGUGUUGUUUUUCUGAAAAUCAAUUAAAGAACUGUUUAUGCUAAGCUGUUUAGACUUUAUCAGCUAACUGUUUAGUUUUGAGCUUUUCUUUAAUGCAGCUUUUCAGUUAACAAGUCAACAUCAAUUUCUUUUGCUGUAAAAAAGCUUGAGGAAGGUGGCUUGAGAUUCGUCUUAAGUGUUUAUAGCCUCUUGCCUAUGCAGUCGGAGAGAUUGAGGUCUGCAGCGUAGAUCCUUCGGGGCUGAAAUGCAUUUGUGCUAAGUUAUAGCAUUUUAUAGACAACUUGUUGACUAUGAUUUGUCUUGUAGCUUACUCGCUUAUGUUAUUUUACCUACGCUUAGGAUGUUGAGUCAUCACACAUCUCU
This 777-nucleotide ribosomal RNA is filed under the name uncultured Neocallimastigales. RNAcentral's name for it is "partial large subunit ribosomal RNA". It matches the Rfam family "Eukaryotic large subunit ribosomal RNA", at positions 25 to 614 of the family's 3401-position model. The record is from RNAcentral. Lineage: Eukaryota; Fungi; Neocallimastigomycota; Neocallimastigomycetes; Neocallimastigales.